Molecule: ribosomal RNA, 723 nt
Filed under: Triticum aestivum (bread wheat)
Lineage: Eukaryota; Viridiplantae; Streptophyta; Magnoliopsida; Poales; Poaceae
Description: partial small subunit ribosomal RNA
Source: RNAcentral
GACACCAUCUCCUGGAACUAGAACCCCAACGGCGAAUAUUCGGCCAGCUCAACAUAUUGGGCGCAAUUCCUCGGAUCUUAUCUGAGAUUCUUCCGCGACAAAAUUUGGAAGGCGCAUGCGGAGCCAAAGUGCAAGUUUUUUUCCUGGCUAGUCCUCCACAACCAGAUCCUUACGGCUGACCGGCUCGCCUUGCAUGGCUGGCCACAUGACCCUGUCUGCCGACUUUGCCUCUGCGCCAAUGAGAAUGCAGAACACCUUUGCAAGACCUGCCCGUUCACUUCCGUAGUCUGCAACCUUGUCCUGAAUUGGGUGGGGGAGCUACUUACUUUUGCUCUAGCUGCCGCUUCCCCCUCAAUCGACACCGGAUCUGCUUACUUUUGCUCUAGCUGCCGCUUCCCCCUCAAUCGGCACCUGGUGGGAUGUUGGGCACAAAACUUCGACAACAAUUUGAGAAGGCGUCGCAGCAACUGCCUCAUUGAUACGUCCAUUUUGCGUCAUGCUUUUAUAUCAAUAUUUAUUGCAUUACGGGCUGUUAUUACACAUUAUAUCUCAAUACUUAUGGCUAUUCUCCCUUAUUUUACAAGGUUUACCAUGAAGAGGGGAAAUACCGGCAGCUGGAAUUCUGGCUGGAAAAGGAGCAAACAUUGGAACCCUAUUCUGCACUACUCCAAAAAUCCUGAAACUCCACGAAACAAGUUUUUUGGAAUUAAUAAGAAUUAUUGA